RNAcentral lists this ribosomal RNA (1363 nucleotides) under uncultured bacterium. RNAcentral describes it as "16S ribosomal RNA". It matches the Rfam family "Bacterial small subunit ribosomal RNA". The record is from RNAcentral.
AGAGUUUGAUCCUGGCUCAGGAUGAACGCUGGCGGCGUGCCUAACACAUGCAAGUCGAGCGAUUCUCUUCGGAGAAGAGCGGCGGACGGGUGAGUAACGCGUGGGUAACCUGCCCUGUACACACGGAUAACAUACCGAAAGGUAUGCUAAUACGAGAUAAUAUACUUUUAUCGCAUGGUAGAAGUAUCAAAGCUUUUGCGGUACAGGAUGGACCCGCGUCUGAUUAGCUAGUUGGUGAGGUAACGGCUCACCAAGGCGACGAUCAGUAGCCGACCUGAGAGGGUGAUCGGCCACAUUGGAACUGAGACACGGUCCAAACUCCUACGGGAGGCAGCAGUGGGGAAUAUUGCACAAUGGGCGAAAGCCUGAUGCAGCAACGCCGCGUGAGCGAUGAAGGCCUUCGGGUCGUAAAGCUCUGUCCUCAAGGAAGAUAAUGACGGUACUUGAGGAGGAAGCCCCGGCUAACUACGUGCCAGCAGCCGCGGUAAUACGUAGGGGGCUAGCGUUAUCCGGAAUUACUGGGCGUAAAGGGUGCGUAGGUGGUUUCUUAAGUCAGAGGUGAAAGGCUACGGCUCAACCGUAGUAAGCCUUUGAAACUGGGAAACUUGAGUGCAGGAGAGGAGAGUGGAAUUCCUAGUGUAGCGGUGAAAUGCGUAGAUAUUAGGAGGAACACCAGUUGCGAAGGCGGCUCUCUGGACUGUAACUGACACUGAGGCACGAAAGCGUGGGGAGCAAACAGGAUUAGAUACUCUGGUAGUCCACGCCGUAAACGAUGAGUACUAGCUGUCGGAGGUUACCCCCUUCGGUGGCGCAGCUAACGCAUUAAGUACUCCGCCUGGGAAGUACGCUCGCAAGAGUGAAACUCAAAGGAAUUGACGGGGACCCGCACAAGUAGCGGAGCAUGUGGUUUAAUUCGAAGCAACGCGAAGAACCUUACCUAAGCUUGACAUCCUUUUGACCUCUCCCUAAUCGGAGAUUUCCCUUCGGGGACAGAAGUGACAGGUGGUGCAUGGUUGUCGUCAGCUCGUGUCGUGAGAUGUUGGGUUAAGUCCCGCAACGAGCGCAACCCUUAUCUUUAGUAGCCAGCGGUUUGGCCGGGCACUCUAGAGAGACUGCCAGGGAUAACCUGGAGGAAGGUGGGGAUGACGUCAAAUCAUCAUGCCCCUUAUGAUCAGGGCUACACACGUGCUACAAUGGCGUAAACAAAGGGAAGCAGCCCCGCGAGGGUGAGCAAAUCUCAAAAAUAACGUCUCAGUUCGGAUUGUAGUCUGCAACUCGACUACAUGAAGCUGGAAUCGCUAGUAAUCGCGAAUCAGAAUGUCGCGGUGAAUACGUUCCCGGGUCUUGCACAAAGCGCCCGUCA